AGGGUUUGAUUCUGGCUCAGAAGGAACGCUGGCAGCGUGCAUAACACAUGCAAGUCGAACGAUGAAGCAUUCUUCGGAAUGUGGAAGAGUGGCGAACGGGUGAGGAACACGUAAGAAUCUGCCCCUCGGUCGGGGACAACUUUUGGAAACGAAAGCUAAUACCCGAUACGCUGUGGAGUGAAAGAAUUUCGCCGAGGGAUGAUCUUGCGUCUGAUUAGCUAGUUGGUGCGGUAAUGGCGCACCAAGGCGACGAUCAGUAGCUGGUCUGAGAGGAUGAACAGCCACAUUGGAACUGAGACACGGUCCAAACUCCUACGGGAGGCAGCAGUGGGGAAUAUUGCGCAAUGGGGGAAACCCUGACGCAGCAACGCCGCGUGAUUGAAGAAGGCCUUCGGGUUGUAAAGAUCUUUAAUUCGGGACGAAUUUUGACGGUACCGAAAGAAUAAGCUCCGGCUAACUACGUGCCAGCC
Molecule: ribosomal RNA, 470 nt
Filed under: uncultured cyanobacterium
Lineage: Bacteria; Bacillati; Cyanobacteriota
Description: bacterial SSU rRNA
Rfam family: Bacterial small subunit ribosomal RNA
Source: RNAcentral